Molecule: ribosomal RNA, 253 nt
Filed under: uncultured bacterium
Lineage: Bacteria
Description: partial 16S ribosomal RNA
Rfam family: Bacterial small subunit ribosomal RNA
Source: RNAcentral
UACGUAGGGGGCGAGCGUUGUCCGGAUUUAUUGGGCGUAAAGCGCGCGCAGGCGGUCUGUUACGUCCGUUGUGAAAGCUCCCGGCUCAACUGGGAGAGGUCUUCGGAUACGGGCGGACUCGAGGAAGGUAGAGGAAGGUGGAAUUCCCGGUGUAGUGGUGGAAUGCGUAGAGAUCGGGAAGAACACCAGUGGCGAAGGCGGUCUGCUGGGCCGUUGCUGACGCUGAGGCGCGACAGCGUGGGGAGCAAACAGG